Molecule: ribosomal RNA, 253 nt
Filed under: uncultured bacterium
Lineage: Bacteria
Description: partial 16S ribosomal RNA
Rfam family: Bacterial small subunit ribosomal RNA
Source: RNAcentral
UACAGAGGAGGCAAGCGUUGUUCGGAAUCACUGGGCUUAAAGGGCGUGUAGGCGGAGUGCAGGGUACCUUGUGAAAUCCCUCGGCUCAACCGAGGAACCGCUGGGUAAACCGGCAUUCUUGAGGCAGGUAGAGGCGGGCGGAACCAUGGGUGGAGCGGUGAAAUGCGUAGAGAUCCAUGGGAACACCGGUGGCGUAAGCGGCCCGCUGGGCCUGUUCUGACGCUGAGACGCGAAAGCGUGGGUAGCAAACAGG